GUGCUCUCGCUCAGCAAAUUCGAAUUUUUCAUGAGUCAUCAAGUUUGAACGAGGAGCAGAAGAAGAAAAAUGAGUAGGAAUCAGAAGCAAAAGAGAAGCAUGAAGAAGAAAGAAGUACGAUUUACAAGUAGCAGAAGAAGCACGAACCAGAAGAAGAAAAGAAAUAGAACCAAGUUUUAACCCGAUUUUAUAUAUUUUCUAUUAGAUUCUUGUAUAAAUAUGGUAAUUUUUUGUUCAUCUAUCUUUCUACCCU
Molecule: long non-coding RNA, 253 nt
Filed under: Capsicum annuum
Lineage: Eukaryota; Viridiplantae; Streptophyta; Magnoliopsida; Solanales; Solanaceae
Description: long non-coding RNA (CANN_LNC010489)
Source: RNAcentral